UUCUCUCCAGCUGACGGCAGAAGAGGAAGUUGGAGGGAUGCGCUCUGGUGAGCCUGGCAGAACGCCCAUAUCUGUGCUGCAAACUUCCCUCCAGGACCACUUGACAAGGAACCGUGGGCAUCAUUCAAGGAGCUGAGAGCUAAUGGAAGAACAGACGCUUCAGCCCCACACCCGCGCAGAGAUGAAUUCUGCCAGCAACACUGCACUUGGAAGAGGACCCUGAUCCCCCAUGAGAACCUGGCCCUGGCCCCAUGAGUCCCUGUGCAGAGAACCUGUCAGCCUGGGCCUGGACUCAGGA
Molecule: long non-coding RNA, 298 nt
Filed under: Homo sapiens (human)
Lineage: Eukaryota; Metazoa; Chordata; Mammalia; Primates; Hominidae
Description: HSALNT0340682
Source: RNAcentral